RNAcentral lists this ribosomal RNA (253 nucleotides) under uncultured bacterium. Its description in RNAcentral is "partial 16S ribosomal RNA". It matches the Rfam family "Bacterial small subunit ribosomal RNA", at positions 524 to 776 of the family's 1533-position model. The record is from RNAcentral.
UACAGAGGUCUCAAGCGUUGUUCGGAUUCAUUGGGCGUAAAGGGUGCGUAGGCGGCGCGGUAAGUCGGGUGUGAAAUCCCGGAGCCUAACUCCGGAACGGCAUUCGAAACUGCAUAGCUCGAGGUCUGGAGAGGUGACUGGAAUUCUCGGUGUAGCAGUGAAAUGCGUAGAUAUCGAGAGGAACACCAGAGGCGAAGGCGAGUCACUGGACAGAACCUGACGCUGAGGCACGAAAGCUAGGGGAGCAAACGGG